RNAcentral lists this unclassified non-coding RNA (298 nucleotides) under Hevea brasiliensis (rubber tree). Lineage: Eukaryota; Viridiplantae; Streptophyta; Magnoliopsida; Malpighiales; Euphorbiaceae. The record is from RNAcentral.
AAAAAAUCACUGAAGGCUCAUUAGAUGUCCAAACAAGCAAUAGACGGAGAGGUGGCCAACAGGAGUACAAAAAUUUGAGGAAAGCACUGUGCAUUGGCUACGCAAAUCAGCUUGCUGAACGAAUGAUUCGACAUAACGGGUAUCGGCCUCUUGGUUUCAAGUCUGAACUCGUACAGGUCCAUCCAUCUUCUGUGCUAAAAUCAGAUGAGGAUGGGAUGCUUCCAAACUAUGUCGUCUAUCAUGAAUUAAUAGUUACAUCACGCCCAUUUAUGCGUAAUGUAUGUGCAGUUGAGAUGCG